Molecule: ribosomal RNA, 393 nt
Filed under: uncultured bacterium
Lineage: Bacteria
Description: partial 16S ribosomal RNA
Rfam family: Bacterial small subunit ribosomal RNA
Source: RNAcentral
AUACGGAGGAUGCGAGCGUUAUCCGGAUUUAUUGGGUUUAAAGGGAGCGUAGGUGGGAUAUUAAGUCAGCUGUGAAAGUUUGGGGCUCAACCUUAAAAUUGCAGUUGAUACUGGUUUCCUUGAGUACGGUACAGGUGGGCGGAAUUCGUGGUGUAGCGGUGAAAUGCUUAAAUAUCACGAAGAACUCCGAUCGCGAAGGCAGCUCACCGGGCCGGAACUGACACUGAUGCUCGAAAGUGCGGGUAUCAAACAGGAUUAGAUACCCUGGUAGUCCGCACAGUAAACGAUGAAUACUCGCUGUUUGCGAUACACGGUAAGCGGCCAAGCGAAAGCGUUAAGUAUUCCACCUGGGGAGUACGCCGGCAACGGUGAAACUCAAAGGAAUUGACGGGG